This 71-nucleotide transfer RNA is filed under the name Dendrophysa russelii (goatee croaker). RNAcentral's name for it is "tRNA-Pro". It matches the Rfam family "tRNA". From Rfam's summary of the family: Transfer RNA (tRNA) molecules are approximately 80 nucleotides in length. Their secondary structure includes four short double-helical elements and three loops (D, anti-codon, and T loops). Lineage: Eukaryota; Metazoa; Chordata; Actinopteri; Sciaenidae. The record is from RNAcentral.
CAAAAAGUAGUUUAAUGUUUGAAUGCUAGCUUUGGGAGCCAGUGGUGAGGGUUAGACUCCCUUCUUUUUGA